Molecule: long non-coding RNA, 644 nt
Organism: Oncorhynchus keta (chum salmon)
Lineage: Eukaryota; Metazoa; Chordata; Actinopteri; Salmoniformes; Salmonidae
Exons: 2
Source: RefSeq, a predicted model, not a curated record
ACUGGUCCUUUGAUGGCCGUAGGCGUCUCCUUGAAAAAUGCAGGGAUUUACACCUGUUUGGCCAAUAACUCUUUAACUAACAUCUCAAUGUCCAAGACCAUUAGUCUGGAUGUCACUGGCCACUCGCCAGCCCCUCCAUUCCUGUCCAGAGUUGGUCUAAUGCUGACGGCCCUGCUAGCCCUCUCUGCCUCUGAUCAACCACUGAGACCACCACAGUAAGCACACUGCAUGUCUGUCUGCUGGCUGGGAGCCAAUCACUCCCUUCCCUCUACCCUCACUGACUCCCCUUGCUGAUCUGGAAAAGGGCUGGAUAGAAAUAAGUAGUAUUGUCAAUAUUGUAAUUGCCUCAACUCACCACCAUAGGGCUGGGUUUAGCGUGCUUAGCUCCUUAGCUCUUUUCCAAUGCUUUUAGAAUGUGAGGAGAGUCAACAAGAGGUCAGAUGAGAGGGGCCUAUCCCCUUAGAAUAGAACCCACCUCUACGAUGUGUUUUUAUGUCAAUCAUCUCUAUAAACAUAUUUUAUUUUUUAAAACUAAAGUCUUGAAAACUGGUCUUCAACAAGGUAAUUGAAGGCGCAAAGAUUCACUGCUCAGUUGUGCUGCCUAUUUCUGUUUGUAAUUAAAUGUUCUUAGAUAUUCACUGCAA